AGUAAAGAAAACCAGACUCUCAUAAAUUCUCAUAUAUUUUAAGCUGACUUUAUUUGAAUUUUUUUUUUAAAUUUGAAAGGACAGUGCAAGCUCUUCCCAAAUAUAAUACAACUAAGAGUCAUACAUUUAUUGUAUCCACAUGCUCUAUAACCAUAUUAAAGUGGUGGUAUUUCUGCUCCUAUGCCAACACUUUAGCAGUAGCCAAUUCUGCAACCCACAAGCUUGUCUAUUAGUAGCCCAUUCAACCUGUUCCCCCAUUAUAGUCAGUAAUAGCCAAUACUCACUCUCCCUUUCCAAUAGCCAGUAGUAGGUCAUUCUAUCAAUCUCUCUACAUAGACAGUAGUAAUCUAUUUUUCACACUGUUGUCCCCAUAACCAGUAGUUAUUUAUUUUUAUACCCAGUCUCUAUAAUCAGUGGUAAUCUAUUUUCACACUCCUUUCCCUUUAGCCAGUGGUAGAUCAGUCUCCGUCACCCUCCAUUCUCAAGAAUCUCAAGUUGAUUUAUUUGAAGAAAAAGCUUAGAUUUGAAUUUGAAAGAACUCCUUUGACACCGAAGAAACCUGGUCAUUUCAGACAAGGAAUGGAUAGCGUGAACUCUUCUCAAAUUCAUCUGAUCUACAAAUAGGAAAGAAAAAGAAGUUGUAUCAACAUACUCUAUAAU
Pelobates cultripes (western spadefoot toad) is the source of this 660-nucleotide non-coding RNA. Lineage: Eukaryota; Metazoa; Chordata; Amphibia; Anura; Pelobatidae. The record is from the annotation of a GenBank genome assembly.